RNAcentral lists this ribosomal RNA (338 nucleotides) under Mantidactylus paidroa. Its description in RNAcentral is "partial 16S ribosomal RNA". It matches the Rfam family "Bacterial large subunit ribosomal RNA", at positions 2011 to 2516 of the family's 2925-position model. Lineage: Eukaryota; Metazoa; Chordata; Amphibia; Anura; Mantellidae. The record is from RNAcentral.
UUAUACUGUCUCCUUUUUCUAUCAGUGAAACUAAUCUUCCCGUGAAGAAGCGGGAAUACCCCUAUAAGACGAGAAGACCCCAUGGAGCUUCAAACCCAACUACACCCCUAACUUCUAUAACCCCCACCCCACGGGACCCUGUAUAGUUGGUUUUAGGUUGGGGCAACCACGGAGCACAACAAAGCCUCCACAAUGAAUGGGACCACCCCCCUUAUCUAAGAGCCACACCCCUAGGAAUUAAAACAUUAAUAUAAAAUGAUCCAUUAUUUGAUCAAUGAACCAAGUUACCCUGGGGAUAACAGCGCAAUCCAUUUCAAGAGCCCCUAUCGACAAAUGGG